UACAGAGGGGGCAAGCGUUGUUCGGAAUUACUGGGCGUAAAGGGCGCGUAGGCGGCCUGUUAAGUCGGACGUGAAAUCCCUCGGCUCAACCGGGGAACUGCGUCCGAUACUGGCGGGCUUGAAUUCGGGAGAGGGAUGUGGAAUUCCAGGUGUAGCGGUGAAAUGCGUAGAUAUCGGGAGGAACACCUGUGGCGAAAGCGGCGCACUGGACCAUAACUGACGCUGAGGCGCGAAAGCUAGGGGAGCAAACAGG
Molecule: ribosomal RNA, 253 nt
Filed under: uncultured bacterium
Lineage: Bacteria
Description: partial 16S ribosomal RNA
Rfam family: Bacterial small subunit ribosomal RNA
Source: RNAcentral